AGUGAACGCUGGCGGUAGGCCUAACACAUGCAAGUCGAACGGCAGCACAGUAAGAGCUUGCUCUUACGGGUGGCGAGUGGCGGACGGGUGGGGAAUACAUCGGAAUCUACUUUUUCGUGGGGGAUAACGUAGGGAAACUUACGCUAAUACCGCAUACGACCUACGGGUGAAAGCAGGGGAUCUUCGGACCUUGCGCGAUUGAAUGAGCCGAUGUCGGAUUAGCUAGUUGGCGGGGUAAAGGCCCACCAAGGCGACGAUCCGUAGCUGGUCUGAGAGGAUGAUCAGCCACACGGGAACUGAGACACGGUCCAGACUCCUACGGGAGGCAGCAGUGGGGAAGAUUGGACAAUGGGCGCAAGCCUGAUCCAGCCAUACAGCGUGGGUGAAGAAGGCCUUCGGGUUGUAAAGCCCUUUUGUUGGAAAGAAAAGCAGCAGGUUAAUACCCCGCUGUUCUGACGGUACCCAAAGAAUAAGCACCGGCUAACUUCGUG
Molecule: ribosomal RNA, 491 nt
Filed under: uncultured bacterium
Lineage: Bacteria
Description: partial 16S ribosomal RNA
Rfam family: Bacterial small subunit ribosomal RNA
Source: RNAcentral